UACGUAGGGGGCAAGCGUUGUCCGGAUUUAUUGGGCGUAAAGAGCGUGUAGGCGGUUUGGUAGGUCCGCUGUGAAAACUCGAGGCUCAACCUCGAGACGCCGGUGGAAACCAUCAGACUAGAGUCCGGAAGAGGAGAGUGGAAUUCCUGGUGUAGCGGUGAAAUGCGCAGAUAUCAGGAAGAACACCCGUAGCGAAGGCGGCACUCUGGGCCGAUACUGACACUGAGACGCGAAAGCGUGGGGAGCGAACAGG
RNAcentral lists this ribosomal RNA (253 nucleotides) under uncultured bacterium. RNAcentral describes it as "partial 16S ribosomal RNA". It matches the Rfam family "Bacterial small subunit ribosomal RNA", at positions 524 to 776 of the family's 1533-position model. The record is from RNAcentral.